Molecule: ribosomal RNA, 500 nt
Filed under: uncultured bacterium
Lineage: Bacteria
Description: partial 16S ribosomal RNA
Rfam family: Bacterial small subunit ribosomal RNA
Source: RNAcentral
AUUGAACGCUGGCGGAAUGCUUUACACAUGCAAGUCGAACGGCAGCCCGGACUUCGGUCUGGUGGCGAGUGGCGAACGGGUGAGUAAUGUAUCGGAGCGUGCCCAGUCGUGGGGGAUAACGUAGUGAAAAUUACGCUAAUACCGCAUACGAUCUAUGGAUGAAAGCGGGGGAUGGCAAGACCUCCCGCGAUUGGAGCGGCCGAUAUCAGAUUAGGUAGUUGGUGGGGUAAAGGCCCACCAAGCCAACGAUCUGUAGCUGGUCUGAGAGGACGACCAGCCACACUGGAACUGAGACACGGUCCAGACUCCUACGGGAGGCAGCAGUGGGGAAUUUUGGACAAUGGGCGAAAGCCUGAUCCAGCCAUUCCGCGUGCAGGAUGAAGGCCCUCGGGUUGUAAACUGCUUUUGUACAGAACGAAAAGGUUUCUACUAAUACUAGGAGCUCAUGACGGUACUGUAAGAAUAAGCACCGGCUAACUACGUGCCAGCCGCCGCGGUAA